RNAcentral lists this ribosomal RNA (254 nucleotides) under uncultured prokaryote. RNAcentral's name for it is "partial 16S ribosomal RNA". It matches the Rfam family "Bacterial small subunit ribosomal RNA", at positions 524 to 777 of the family's 1533-position model. The record is from RNAcentral.
UACGGAGGAUGCGAGCGUUAUCCGGAUUUAUUGGGUUUAAAGGGUGCGUAGGCGGCUUUUUAAGUCAGCGGUGAAAUUUUGCAGCUUAACUGUAACAGUGCCGUUGAUACUGCGGAGCUAGGAUUUGGUUGCUGUGGGUGGAAUGUGUGGUGUAGCGGUGAAAUGCUUAGAUAUCACACAGAAUAUCGAUUGCGAAGGCAGCUCACAAAGCCAAGAUUGACGCUGAGGCACGAAAGUGUGGGGAUCAAACAGGA